UCAGAUGUGAAAUAAUCAAAUACGUUUGAUUGAAGUGUGUUUAUAACAAGGUUUAAAAAUGCAAAGCGGGACAAAUGAAGCAAUGCCACACUACAGUGUGACAUAGCCUAAACACAGAGAUAUAAACAUCUCUAAACGUUUCAGUCAUGCACACAGCUAAGUCAGCUAGCUGGAUCUCUUAGAAUAAGCUUUUUCUUUCUUUUCUUUUGGUAACAUCAACACAGAGGGAGUUUUAAAAAGUGAAUUGACAGGUGCGCAUUGCAUUUUCCUCUCCAAGACCUAUUGUUUGUAUUUUGUUUUGUUUUGCCACCAGAUGGCGCCGCUGACUCUGUGUCUACAUUCUGAGCUGCACAAACUCCCACUCUGCAGGACUCUGAAGGCACCAUCACCUGCUCAUGAUCCAUAUUUACAUUUUACUCGAAGUUGUUGCUUCCUGUUUGCUGAGACUUAAAAAUCACUCUCAGCUGUAAGUGUUAACUGGAAAGCUAAAUCUACAGUUUAGUUUGCGCUUGUUGUUUAAUAGAUGACACAUACGGAAUGAUAUAACACUAUGUUGUUGUUUUUAUUUUAAAGAGAAUCUAUCCUGCUCAUUUCUAGCUACACGUUUCUAUUCUUGGACUCUCCUAGAGUAGCUUUGCAUGAAUCACAGUUCAAAAUAAUCCUUCUUUUUCUUGCAUUGGGCCCCAGUGUUGCCCCUCAGUUCAUCCUCUGUGUGAAACCAGCUUUGUAGCUCCUCUCCCUUUAAGCCUGCAGGGUCUGCCCCAUUAGUUUCUCUUUGUGUUUUUGGCCUGCAGCUGACUUUCUUCUGAUUGGCUGCCCCACACAAACAGAAGGUUUCACACAGAGCCAGAGCCGGUGCACUCACAUCCUAAUCCUGUUUUGUCAGGUAACUCCUGCAUCUGCAUCGAAGCCAAGUGUCCUGUAACGUCAUUGCCAUUGAUGCAGUGGCAGUGGCAGCAUCAGCCACCCAGAAAAUAACAGUCCCUUUAAGGUGUUAAAAAGUCAUGAUUUAGGAUGAAACACACCAAUUCACCAAAGCUGGCAGUGACAGAUCCAAAUCUAAAUGCUCAGUUUCAUACUGUUUUUUCUACUCUCUGGCCUGUAUGAUGUCAUAGUUAUUCCUAAUAUGGUCAUCUCAGGCACAGAAGCUCCAUCUGCUGCUCACACACUCUGCUAAGAAAGUUGGUUUAAAGGGCGAGGAGCUGAAACAGCUUGUUUCAGACAGAGGAUGGCCCGAGGAGCUGAACCAAGGCCCAGUGUAAGAUAAAGAAGGAUUAUUCUGAAUUCAUUCACCAGCUGACUCAUGCAAAGCUACUAUGAGUCCAAAAAUAAAAGCAUGGCACUGGUAAUGAGCAGAAUAGGUGCACUUUAAGGGCUUUCAGGGGGUAAACAGUUUGUUUUGGGUGGUGUCCAGCGAUUCGCUCCUCCCACAAACCAGCAGCAGGUGGAAACUGGUUCAGCAGCCUGGUUAUCAGCAGCUCUGGAGGUUGGAGAGGAACUGCAGCACAGGACAGAGGUGUUUCGUAGAGCCCGGUGUCUCUGGUGUUGCUGUUGUCGGAUAAAGAGAGGUCGGAAGACAUGAAGGUCACCAGUAGAAACUCGUGCUGCUGAAGAUUCAACAGCUCCAUCAGCGUCUCUGUGAAAUGGGAUGUAACAGGUCAAGAUGCUGGUUUGGAGCCAGUUCUGACAAACCGGAUGAGGCCAUCACCGAUGAGGCUGAGGGGUUUCUGAAGCAUGCAAGCGACUCUGAAGGUGUUGCAGGCUCAGCUGACGGCAGCUUCCAGGAUCCCCCUCCAGUCAGCAGAGCUCUGCUGGACUUUGCUCAGAGGAUGUCGGAGGACAUUGUCGCUCAGGCUCUGCAUCUCUGCUGGGAGGCAGCGAUCCGAUACGACGAGCUGCCUUUCAUUGACAGUGACGCCGAUUAUGUUAAUGAACCAAAACAUUUCUUUACUUGAAAUCUGCCUGAACAUCCACCCAGGCUGCAUGAAACAGGUGAAGUUCAGAUCUUAGUUUCUGUCCACAGCAAAAAUCUGAGGUGUGGAUUAUUUUAAGACAUUACAACAUGUGUCCACAAAACUUUGUACUGCAAAACAAAAGCACCACUUCUGAAACCUUUAAAGUUAGAGUUUAAAGAGUAUAAAGGACAAUUAGAUUAUGACCACUAAAAUCUAGUUCCAGGUAGGGCUGCCACGAUUUGUCGACUAGUCACGAUUACGUCGACUAUCAAAAUCGUCGACGACUGAUUUAAUAGUCGACGUGUCGUUUGAAGCUUUGUAAG
Long non-coding RNA from Haplochromis burtoni (Burton's mouthbrooder), 2278 nucleotides. RefSeq lists it as uncharacterized. The record is from RefSeq and is a predicted model, not a curated record. Lineage: Eukaryota; Metazoa; Chordata; Actinopteri; Cichliformes; Cichlidae. The transcript has 3 exons.